AUGCCACGCUUGCCGCGUGGUCUCUCAAUUCAAACAUUUCUCGGUGGGGUUAGCUUUUUUGUGAUCACGUUUAAAUGUCUAUUGGCGGGGACCAUUAACAAUACCGAAUCAAGAAGAUCCUCUCCUCAUUCAUCAGCCGAGCACGGGACAAUCUUACGCAAUUUUGACAGCUCUGAUGUACACUCUGGUUACACGGAUGUUCCUCAGGUAUUUCGACAUCAUAAUGACAAGAAGUGGGGGCAACCGAGAGCAAAAAAGGCUGGAAUCGUCAAAGAACUCGUCCAGGAGAAAAAUAAAUGUAAAAAAUUCAGCACAGCUGAACCUGGGACAAACUUACGAAAUUUUGACGGCUCUAAUGUGCACUCUGGUGACACGAGUGUUCCUCAGGUAUUUCGACAUCGUAAUGAUAAGAAGUGGGGGCACUCAAGAGCGAAAAAAGCUAGAAUCGUCAAAAGGAAGCUCGUCCAGAAGAAAAAUAAAUUUGAAAAAUUCAGCACCGUAAACCCUUCAACUCUCAACAGUGCAACUUUAGAAAAUCUCAGUCUAGAGAAGGCAAAGAAUGUUCAUGCAACAACUUCGUUCGAGAAUUUCAACAAUAAGAAAUGUGUCAAUCGGAACUUGUCGGAGUCCGAGCAAAUUUACCAUAGACUAAGGAGUUAUAAAAUUAUUCCUGACGUGCUGCGUCCAAAGUUUACUACGAUGCCUUUAAGACAUUUACAGGUUACAUAUGGCAUAAAUGUUGUGAAGUAUGGGACCGAGCUGUAUUCUUUACAGAUAGAGAAUGAACCUACAGUCAUGUUUGAGGGAGAAGAAAAUACUUAUUACUCAUUAAUUGCUAUUGGUAAGAGACUAUGAAACACUUUAGAGAAUCAUUCCAUCCAAUGAAAAACUCUUGUCGUGAUUUUAAAAAUUAGAAGACACUCGUCUAAUGUGGCAAUUAUUGCGACCAAGCAAAAAUAAAAACUCAAAAUAAAAUCCUCUUCACGGCACACUCAAGAAUGUUUUUUCCUGAAUCAAAAACACUUUCAAGUCUCUUUUCUUCUCUAAUGAAAUUUAAAAUUAUGCUAAUCGCUAUCAAAUACGGAUACUAGGAUUUGAGAUUUUUUUGAAGUACCGCUCUCUUUUUGUGCCGUCGUAUCUUCAUUUAUUUUGCAAUUAGAGCUAGUACUCUUAAAGGAUGCCUGUCAGACUUGAUGCGUUGGAGCGCCUUCAAUUACGUAUGAUACUGUGCAACACCUCUGUUGCGAAAUAGUUGCUUGAAGCGCCGUGGCACUCCGCAGCGCGGCGUGCAACCAGCGGAACACGCGCAUAAGCGCCUACAAACCUAACAGGGAUACUUCACGCAUUGCGCAAUGCGUGAAGUAUCCCUGUUAGGUUUGUAGGCGCGUACAUAUGGCAUAAAUGUUGUGAAGUAUGGGACCGAGCUGUAUUCUUUACAGAUAGAAAAUGAACCUACAGUCAUGUUUGAGGGAGAAGAAAAUACUUAUUACUCAUUAAAAGCUAUCGGUAAGAGACUAUGAAAAACUUCAGAGAAUCAUUCCUUCCAAUGAAAAACUCUUGUCGUGAUUUUAAAAAUUAGAAGACCCUCGUCUCAUGUGGCAAUUAUUGCGACCAAGCAAAAAUAAAAACGAAGAUUUACGGCUCAGCAUAUUGUUAGGGAUAACUCAGGCAAGAGGUGAAAUUUACGGAAGGCAUUUCUGCGAAUGUAACGCAUAAGGGCAAAAUGAAUCUUAUCGUGGUGGAGGGGGAGGGGGGGGGGGGAAUUUUUCAGCAGGGACAGCUCAGAGGGGUCAAUCGAGCAUCAUUUGUUGCACACACUGGUGCAAGAAAACUGAAACUUAGCUCCAUAGGCAGCGAUUCAAAGCCCGAGAACAAAGAACGAGGAAAACCUCUGUUAAAGCCGGCGCUAUCACCAAUUUUGAGGCGGAUUUAAUUAAAACGAUUAUAUCAUCAUUAAAUCACAAUGCAAAUAAUGGAUUGAAAUUUUGAUCUGACAUCCGUGAGAUGUAUCCUAAUUUGGAAUGAGAUGAAGCAUAUACUUGCACUGACCACUGUGGGAGUCCGUUGAUCUGUUUAGGUCCAGAUAUGCCGUCCUACAGAGACUACGAUGAGCGCAAUUGGUUGCAUUGGUGCGUCGGAAACAUACCCGGGGAGAUGUCUCCCGCGGCGGCCGAGUAGUAACCCCAUACAUUGGCCUUGCUCUCGGUUAUCAACUAGGCAAGUAUGGUUAGAUAUUUAGGCUUUAAAUAUUUUUAAGGUGGUUUUGGAUUGUGGGAUUACGAGAUACCAAAUAACUUUAUUUUUAUCAAGAACUUCUAAAGUUAUGAACACGACAAGGAUACGUAUGAUUCUGAUAAAAUUAAAGCAUGUAAUAGAGAAAAAGUGAUUUAAAACGACUGAAAUCACACGUGAGGCGGAUGGAUAGUUUUUUCUCCUCUAUGAUGAGUGAGAAGGAAACAGUUCAGUGAAUUUAUUAUUUGUCUAUCUCGAUUAGAUCUUCUUACAGCUCUCUCCAGAUAGGUCUGAUUUUCUGAAAAAAGCACGGGGUGCACAAAUUGUGUGAAAAGGAAUAUAUUUUCCUUAAGAGUUAC
This 2591-nucleotide long non-coding RNA is filed under the name Bemisia tabaci. RNAcentral describes it as "lncRNA ENSSSA1NGG011429". The record is from RNAcentral. Lineage: Eukaryota; Metazoa; Arthropoda; Insecta; Hemiptera; Aleyrodidae.